This is a long non-coding RNA of Nicotiana tabacum (common tobacco), 1730 nucleotides long. RefSeq lists it as uncharacterized. The record is from RefSeq and is a predicted model, not a curated record. Lineage: Eukaryota; Viridiplantae; Streptophyta; Magnoliopsida; Solanales; Solanaceae.
ACAAUCGACACAAUGAUUGUAAGACUGAUAAUAUAGUGACCUAGUAGCAAUAAACUAGGGACCUAAGUGUAAGUGUAGUUAGUCAAGCUUGAAGGCUUUAGUUUUAGUUUGUAAAAUAAAUUAGAGAAGGUACGAGAAUUAGUUAAAAUGAGAGUUGUUAGUCUUGAAAAGUGUACAGUUCAUUCUAACAGAUCCUACAGAAAUAAAAUUUCCGUUUUCUGCUCGUUCUUCUCUCUAGCUUUCUCUCUCUAGAAAUUACUCGUUGUUGUUCGUUCAUGAAUCUUAAGUGAUGAUUGUAAAAUUCUGCACUUAGAUUGCAUAAAUUGACUUGAUAUCAGAGCGACGAUCUCUGUAAUUACCCAGAUCUACAACUCUAAUUUUACUAAUUGAAGGUCGAUUGAAGUUCAACAAUAAUGAGAUCGAGUAGUUGCCCCAUAAUCAUCCCUUAUUCCUUCGAGAUUCUGACUUGCCUAGAACAACGUUGAUAUCGCUGAAACUCACAUGGCCUGAAAAUUAUGCCCUAUUGAGUAGAGCUAUGAAGGUAGCACUCUUGGUGAAGAACAAAUUAGGAGUUUAUAGAUGGUACUUAUCGCAAGAGUUCAUACAGAGGCGAGUUGGCAACACAAUGGAAAAGGUGUAAUGCAGCGGUGCUAUCAUGGUUCAGCAACACAGUGUCAACUGAAUUGGUACCAAGUAUCAUGUAUGCUUCGAGUGCGAAGAAAGUGUGGGACGAGUUCAAAGAGAGAUUUGAUAAGGACAAUUUGACCAGAAUCUAUCAACUCUGGACUAAUAUUGCAAUGCUGAGACAGGGGUACGGACAAUCACUACGUAUUUUUUAAAGAUGAAAGAUUUAUGGGAUGAAUUGGACAUUUUAGCACGGUUGCCUUCACAUGACUAUGAGGAAUUGAGACCGUAUGUUGAUCAUCUGGUAAGACAAAGGCUACUGCAGUUCCUUAUGACGCUCAAUGAGAGCUAUAGCCAAAGAACGUUAGGAGUUGUUGAGACAAACAAAGAUCCUCUAACUAUGUUAGCAGGCCGGGGACAAAUGUUUAAAGAAAAAAACAGGAUUAAUCUGUGAGCACUAUGGCUAUAAGGGCAACCUAACGGAGAAUUUCUACAAAACAAUAGCCUAUCCAGCAGAUUUUACGAGCAAGAAAAAGUGGCAACCAUGUGCAUAUUAGCCUUAUUCCAACAAUGCAAAUACAAAUUCAGAGGUAGGAACAAAUGUCAAAGGUCAAGUUCAAGGAAAUUAUUUGAUAGAGGAAUAUUACAAGCAAUCUUCUGUGGGAGAAGGAUCUACUGUGAUGACAGAUUCUUCAAACAUGACAGGGCUCUACAAUGGCAAGGUGCUGGGGAUUGGUAAGGAAGAUAUUGGCCUAUACAUACUUAGAAGAGAAGAAGGGGUAGCAGCAGGGACUUUAAAAAAUGAAACAGUAGAUACUAGAUUAUGGCAUCAAAGACUGAGACAUGCUUCUAAAAAUGUUAAGCAACACUUGGUGGAACUAUAGAAUAAGGUAGAUGUAGACAUGCUGAACUAUUGUGCAGUUUGCCCUUUGUCCAAACAAAGUAGACUUAAAUUUCAUGUUAGUAGCAAUAAGUCUAGUUGUACCUUUCAGCUUGUGCAUGUUGAUGAAUGUAGUCCAUAUAAUAUAGUACCAACCUAUGAUACAAAACACAAUUUUGUUAUCAUAGUUGAUGACUUCAGUAGAUAUACUUGAAUUUGUCUGUUA